ACUUUUCUAGUGUAAGGAACACAUUGGUUUUUCAUGCCAAAGUUGGCUGUUUUGCCGAAAGGUCCC
Molecule: transfer RNA, 66 nt
Filed under: Cerastoderma edule
Lineage: Eukaryota; Metazoa; Mollusca; Bivalvia; Cardiida; Cardiidae
Description: tRNA-Glu
Rfam family: tRNA
About the family: Transfer RNA (tRNA) molecules are approximately 80 nucleotides in length. Their secondary structure includes four short double-helical elements and three loops (D, anti-codon, and T loops).
Source: RNAcentral